This 672-nucleotide unclassified non-coding RNA is filed under the name Melitaea cinxia (Glanville fritillary). RNAcentral's name for it is "misc RNA ENSMCXG00005014533.1". The record is from RNAcentral. Lineage: Eukaryota; Metazoa; Arthropoda; Insecta; Lepidoptera; Nymphalidae.
AUAUGCUAAUUGGUAUACGGUAAUUAGAAAACGAUAAAUUUUCACAAAAAUGUUUAAAACCGACGCAGUAUACAAAUUCUAGCUUAUUACAACGUACGGAGGCCAAAGUACUGUCUCCAUUUACAUGAUCAACUUGGGUCUAUCUUAAAAAUCUAGUAUUAAAAUAAGAACAACGGUAAUAAGAAAAGUUUUUAACCAAGGCUACGGUAAUUAUAUACUCACGUGCUUCAUUGGUGGUACACUAACAUGAGAGUCAUACAACUGCUGAUGGACCUCGGUACACACUGAGGAGACGUGAUGCGUACGGUAGUGAUGUGCCAAAUACUUUUAUUUAGGGAUGUGCACUCGAGAACAGCAGAUGUUACGGUAAUUAGAAGUUUCCAUUGGACAUACGAUUACUUCAUAAUAAUUAUUUGUAGACUGGUUCUAUUGAGUAGAUAUUUUGUUAUGCGAUACACGCUGCUUAAUAUCGUUUAAAACGUUGAAUGGAUCGAAGUAAAUCUAUACGCUAUAAAAAUUACAAGCAAGUUUUAAGAUUAAGUUGGUGUGCGGACACGUCACGCUAGGUACGGAUGCUAUCUAAAAUAUAUAAAAAAGUGCAUGAUUGAAUAUGGUGAUAUUACGGCUUAAACAAGCCCGGACACGAAAAAUUUGCUAAUCGGAGAAUGGCCG